UUCCGGUUGAUCCUGCCGGAGGUCACUGCUAUUGGGAUUCGACUAAGCCAUGCGAGUCGAGAGGGUUCGGCCCUCGGCUGACGGCUCAGUAACACGUGGAUAAUCUGCCCUUAGGUGGAGGAUACCCUCGGGAAACUGAGAAUAAUACUCCAUAGGUCUAGGAUGCUGGAAUGCAUCUAGACUGAAAACUCCGGUGCCUAAGGAUGAGUCUGCGGACUAUCAGGUUGUAGUCAGGGUAAAGACCUGACUAGCCUACGACGGAUACGGGUUGUGAGAGCAAUAACCCGGAGAUGAUAUCUGAGACACGAUAUCAGGCCCUACGGGGCGCAGCAGGCGCGAAAACUUCACACUGUGCGAAAGCACGAUGAGGGAAUCCCAAGUGCCAGCUCGUAAGAGUUGGCUGUUUUUCUGUCUAAAACACAGAGAGAGUAAGAGCUGGGUAAGACGGGUGCCAGCCGCCGCGGUAAUACCUGCAGCUCGAGUGGUGACCGUUAUUAUUGGGCCUAAAACGUCCGUAGCCGGUUUAGUAAAUGCCUGGGUAAAUCGUGUAGCUUAACUAUACGAAUUCCGGGUAGACUGCUAAACUUGAGACCGGGAGAGGCUAGAGGUACUCCUGGGGUAGAGGUGAAAUUCUGUAAUCCUGGGGGGACCACCAGUGGCGAAGGCGUCUAGCUAGAACGGAUCUGACGGUGAGGGACGAAGCCCUGGGGCGCAAACCGGAUUAGAUACCCGGGUAGUCCAGGGUGUAAACGCUGCUUGCUUGAUGUUAGUCGGGCUCCGAGCCCGAUUAGUGUCGGAGAGAAGUUGUUAAGCAAGCUGCCUGGGAAGUACGGUCGCAAGACUGAAACUUAAAGGAAUUGGCGGGGGAGCACAGCAACCGGGUGGAGCGUGCGGUUUAAUUGGAAUCAACGCCGG
This 915-nucleotide ribosomal RNA is filed under the name uncultured archaeon. Its description in RNAcentral is "bacterial SSU rRNA". It matches the Rfam family "Archaeal small subunit ribosomal RNA", at positions 1 to 921 of the family's 1478-position model. The record is from RNAcentral.